Molecule: RNA transcript, 1184 nt
Organism: Spinacia oleracea (spinach)
Lineage: Eukaryota; Viridiplantae; Streptophyta; Magnoliopsida; Caryophyllales; Amaranthaceae
Gene name: UMP-CMP kinase 3
Exons: 11
Source: RefSeq, a predicted model, not a curated record
GAAAAAAAAUAUUAUUCGAGUACGAACAACAGCAGAAAGUAUUCGAGCACUAAACAUACUUCACUAUCACAGUAUCACGUCUGUUUCGAUCUCUUGUUCUCUUUGCUCUUCCAAAGUUAAUCUAUGGGAACUGUGGUUGACGCUCAAAACAUGAAAUAUGGCAGGAAGGUGAUUGUUGUCUUUGUGUUAGGUGGUCCUGGCAGUGGGAAGGGUACACAGUGUGCCAAUAUUGUUCAGCACUUUGGAUACACUCAUCUGAGUGCUGGUGAUCUUCUGCGAGCUGAAAUUAAAUCUGGCUCUGAAAAUGGAACCAUGAUCCAGAGCAUGAUUAAGGAAGGAAAGAUUGUGCCUUCAGAGAUUACUGUUAAGCUUCUCCAGCAAGCGAUGCAGGAAAGUGGAAAUGAUAAGUUUCUUAUUGAUGGGUUCCCUCGCAAUGAAGAGAACCGUGAAACCUUUGAAUCUGUUACUGGUAUAGCACCAGAAUUUGUUCUUUUUUUUGAUUGUCCAGAAGAGGAGAUGGAGAAGCGUCUUUUAAGUAGAAAGCAGGGUAGGGAAGAUGAUAACAUGGAGACCAUCAGGAAGCGUUUCAAGGUAUACAUGGAGUCUAGUCUACCAGUUGUUGAGUACUAUAGCUCGAAGGGAAAUGUUAGAAAGAUUGAUGCAGUUAAACAAGUUGACGCUGUAUUUGAGGAUGUCAAAGCUAUAUUUAAUUCAACAAUAGAGAAGGUUGCUCCUUAUGAGGAUUUUCCAACAUCAUUGAAUACCAAGAUGCCAUAACUAUGUAACUUUACCGAGUAUUGCUUGGGAAGUAUUUAUAUGGGCCUUGGACGGGUACAGUUGGAAUUAUAUCUGAGGUUGUGAUGGGCUGUGCUUGCAAAAUGCUCCACUUUACUUAUUCCUUCUGUUUAUCGAUGGAAUUUUGGCAACGAGAAUAUGAACUAUGAAGCUAUUGCUCGUAGAACACAAUGCGUUAUAUGCCAGUCUUUUGUUGCUUUCUACUGUUUGAUGAUUUUGUAAUGGGUUUGAAUGCCUCUAAUAUGUUUUUUUGGUAUUGGCAAUCGUAUACGAAGCCUAAAGAAACCUUUUAAGUAAAAUAUGCUACGUAAUUUUUUUGGUAAAGCAAGAGUCUUACUCUGAUGUUGAUUAUAAUUACCUACUCUAUAAAAGUUGAUUUUUGUAUCCAA